AACAGGAUUAGAUACCCUGGUAGUCCACGCCCUAAACGAUGUCUACUAGUUGUUGGUGGAGUAAAAUCCAUGAGUAACGCAGCUAACGCGUGAAGUAGACCGCCUGGGGAGUACGGUCGCAAGAUUAAAACUCAAAUGAAUUGACGGGGGCCCGCACAAGCGGUGGAUUAUGUGGAUUAAUUCGAUGCAACGCGAAAAACCUUACCUGGCCUUGACAUGUACCGAAUUUACCAGAGAUGGUUUAGUGCUCGAAAGAGAACGGUAACACAGGUGCUGCAUGGCUGUCGUCAGCUCGUGUCGUGAGAUGUUGGGUUAAGUCCCGCAACGAGCGCAACCCUUGCCAUUAAUUGCCAUCAUUUAGUUGGGCACUUUAAUGGGACUGCCGGUGACAAACCGGAGGAAGGUGGGGAUGACGUCAAGUCCUCAUGGCCCUUAUGGCCAGGGCUUCACACGUAAUACAAUGGUCGGUACAGAGGGUUGCCAACCCGCGAGGGGGAGCCAAUCCCAGAAAGCCGAUCGUAGUCCGGAUUGUAGUCUGCAACUCGACUACAUGAAGUCGGAAUCGCUAGUAAUCGCGGAUCAGCAUGUCGCGGUGAAUACGUUCCCGGGCCUUGUACACACCGCCCGUCACACCAUGGGAGUGGGUUUUACCAGAAGUAGGUAGUCUAACCGUAAGGAGGACGCUUACCACGGUAGUAUUCAUGACUGGGGUGAAGUCGUAACAAGGUAACC
Molecule: ribosomal RNA, 732 nt
Filed under: uncultured bacterium
Lineage: Bacteria
Description: bacterial SSU rRNA
Rfam family: Bacterial small subunit ribosomal RNA
Source: RNAcentral